Molecule: ribosomal RNA, 253 nt
Filed under: uncultured bacterium
Lineage: Bacteria
Description: partial 16S ribosomal RNA
Rfam family: Bacterial small subunit ribosomal RNA
Source: RNAcentral
UACGUAGGGUGCGAGCGUUAAUCGGAAUUACUGGGCGUAAAGCGUGCGCAGGCGGUUUUUUAAGCCAGAUGUGAAAGCCCCGGGCUCAACCUGGGAAUGGCAUUUGGGACUGCAAGGCUUGAGUGCGGCAGAGGAGAAUGGAAUUCCUGGUGUAGCGGUGAAAUGCGCAGAUAUCAGGAAGAACACCCGUGGCGAAGGCGGUUCUCUGGGACGGUACUGACGCUGAGACGCGAAAGCGUGGGGAGCGAACAGG